RNAcentral lists this ribosomal RNA (228 nucleotides) under uncultured bacterium. RNAcentral's name for it is "partial 16S ribosomal RNA". It matches the Rfam family "Bacterial small subunit ribosomal RNA", at positions 568 to 795 of the family's 1533-position model. The record is from RNAcentral.
UCCGUAGGUGGAUAAUUAAGUCAGAGGUGAAAUCCUGCAGCUCAACUGUAGAAUUGCCUUUGAUACUGGUUAUCUUGAGUUAUUAUGAAGUAGUUAGAAUAUGUAGUGUAGCGGUGAAAUGCAUAGAUAUUACAUAGAAUACCAAUUGCGAAGGCAGAUUACUAAUAAUAUACUGACACUGAUGGACGAAAGCGUGGGGAGCGAACAGGAUUAGAUACCCUGGUAGUC